This 59-nucleotide transfer RNA is filed under the name Mustela putorius furo (domestic ferret). The record is from Rfam by way of RNAcentral. Lineage: Eukaryota; Metazoa; Chordata; Mammalia; Carnivora; Mustelidae.
GCCUGGGUGGCUCAGUAGGUUAAAGCUCCUGACUUUGGCUCAGGUCAUGAUCUCAGGCU